UACGGAAGGCAGCAGUGGGGAAUAUUGCACAAUGGGCGCAAGCCUGAUGCAGCCAUGCCGCGUGUAUGAAAAAGGCCUUCGGGUUGUAAAGUACUUUCAGUCGUGAGGAAGGUGUUAAGGUUAAUAACCUUAGCAAUUGACGUUAGCGACAGAAGAAGCACCGGCUAACUCCGUGCCAGCAGCCGCGGUAAUACGGAGGGUGCGAGCGUUAAUCGGAAUUACUGGGCGUAAAGGGCACGCAGGCGGUUAAUAAGUUGGAUGUGAAAUCCCCGGGCUUAACCUGGGAAUGGCAUUCAAGACUGGUUAGCUAGAGUCUUGUAGAGGGGGUAGAAUUCCAUGUGUAGCGGUGAAAUGCGUAGAGAUGUGGAGGAAUACCGGUGGCGAAGGCGGCCCCUGGACAAAGACUGAUGCUCAUGUGCGAAAGCGUGGGGAGCAAACAGGGAUUAGAUACC
This 452-nucleotide ribosomal RNA is filed under the name uncultured bacterium. RNAcentral's name for it is "bacterial SSU rRNA". It matches the Rfam family "Bacterial small subunit ribosomal RNA", at positions 340 to 786 of the family's 1533-position model. The record is from RNAcentral.